GGUAAGAAGCAAGAACUCAGUAAAACAACAUGCACGAGGUCUGUAUGGGGGUGAGAAUGAGAUCCUAUAUCAUGCAGCUCAGGUUAUUAAUUGUCCAGGCAGCACAUCCGACCCCAAACAUCCAAGAUCCAACGCUCGGAGCCUCGGACUGCCCAGCUCCCAACCAAAGAGGCCUGAAUACGCAAGUUGAUCUCUAUAUAGGUAGCCGG
RNAcentral lists this long non-coding RNA (209 nucleotides) under Sorghum bicolor (sorghum). RNAcentral describes it as "long non-coding RNA (SBIC_LNC005581)". The record is from RNAcentral. Lineage: Eukaryota; Viridiplantae; Streptophyta; Magnoliopsida; Poales; Poaceae.